GGUCGCCCCAACUAAAAGGCAAGCAGGGAACUUUUUUCCUUUUAGUGUUAACAUGUAAAUCUAGUAAACUGUAUUUAGAUUUCUAUAAAAUCAGCUCUGGAUGCAAAAAUGAAUGCUUGAUUUACCAGGAUCUCCUUGGCCUCAACUGUCUAAAAGGGGACUGGACAAGAUGCUGAAGAAAACCGUAUUACUCCACACCAGGGGUCAGCAAGCUUUUGCUAUAAAAAGCCAGAUAAUAAACACAUUUGACCUUGCAGCCAAGUGGGCUCUGUUGCCACCACGCGGCUCUGCUGUCACGACCCUGAAGCAGCCGCGGAGAAUGACAAACAAAUGAACAUGGCUGUGUUCCGAUAAAACAUCAUUUACAAAAACAAGCAGUGGGCCAGAUUUGGGCUUUGGGCUGCAGCUUGC
This 411-nucleotide long non-coding RNA is filed under the name Mustela putorius furo (domestic ferret). RNAcentral describes it as "lncRNA (ENSMPUG00000024969.1)". Lineage: Eukaryota; Metazoa; Chordata; Mammalia; Carnivora; Mustelidae. The record is from RNAcentral.